AUUGAACGCUGGCGGCAUGCCUUACACAUGCAAGUCGAACGGCAGCACGGGUGCUUGUACCUGGUGGCGAGUGGCGAACGGGUGAGUAAUACAUCGGAACAUGUCCUGUAGUGGGGGAUAGCCCGGCGAAAGCCGGAUUAAUACCGCAUACGAUCUACGGAUGAAAGCGGGGGACCUUCGGGCCUCGCGCUAUAGGGUUGGCCGAUGGCUGAUUAGCUCGUUGGUGGGGUAAAGGCCUACCAAGGCGACGAUCAGUAGCUGGUCUGAGAGGACGACCGGCCACACUGGGACUGAGACACGGCCCAGACUCCUACGGGAGGCAGCAGUGGGGAAUUUUGGACAAUGGGCGAAAGCCUGAUCCAGCAAUGCCGCGUGUGUGAAGAAGGCCUUCGGGUUGUAAAGCACUUUUGUCCGGAAAGAAAUCCUUGGCCCUAAUACGGUCGGGGGAUGACGGUACCGGAAGAAUAAGCACCGGCUAACUACGUG
RNAcentral lists this ribosomal RNA (486 nucleotides) under uncultured bacterium. RNAcentral's name for it is "partial 16S ribosomal RNA". It matches the Rfam family "Bacterial small subunit ribosomal RNA", at positions 30 to 507 of the family's 1533-position model. The record is from RNAcentral.